GAUGAACGCUAGCUACAGGCUUAACACAUGCAAGUCGAGGGGAAACGACAUCGAAAGCUUGCUUUUGGUGGGCGUCGACCGGCGCACGGGUGAGUAACGCGUAUCCAACUUGCCCACCACUUGGGGAUAACCUUGCGAAAGUAAGACUAAUACCCAAUGAUAUCCCACGAAGGCAUCCGAAUGGGAUUAAAGAUUUAUCGGUGAUGGAUGGGGAUGCGUCUGAUUAGCUUGUUGGCGGGGUAACGGCCCACCAAGGCAACGAUCAGUAGGGGUUCUGAGAGGAAGGUCCCCCCACAUUGGAACUGAGAUACGGUCCAAACUCCUACGGGAGGCAGCAGUGAGGAAUAUUGGUCAAUGGGCGGUAGCCUGAACCAGCCAAGUCGCGUGAGGGAUGACGGCCCUACGGGUUGUAAACCUCUUUUACAAGGGAAUAAAGUGGGUCUCGUGAGACUUUUUGCAUGUACCUUAUGAAUAAGGACCGGCUAAUUCCGUG
This 493-nucleotide ribosomal RNA is filed under the name uncultured bacterium. RNAcentral's name for it is "bacterial SSU rRNA". It matches the Rfam family "Bacterial small subunit ribosomal RNA", at positions 28 to 507 of the family's 1533-position model. The record is from RNAcentral.